Molecule: ribosomal RNA, 484 nt
Filed under: uncultured bacterium
Lineage: Bacteria
Description: partial 16S ribosomal RNA
Rfam family: Bacterial small subunit ribosomal RNA
Source: RNAcentral
AUUGAACGCUGGCGGCAUGCUUUACACAUGCAAGUCGAACGGCAGCGCGGGCUUCGGCCUGGCGGCGAGUGGCGAACGGGUGAGUAAUGCAUCGGAACGUGCCCAGUAGUGGGGGAUAGCCCGGCGAAAGCCGGAUUAAUACCGCAUACGACCUGAGGGUGAAAGCGGGGGACCGAAAGGCCUCGCGCUAUCGGAGCGGCCGAUGUCGGAUUAGCUAGUUGGUGGGGUAAAGGCUUACCAAGGCGACGAUCCGUAGCUGGUCUGAGAGGACGACCAGCCACACUGGGACUGAGACACGGCCCAGACUCCGACGGGAGGCAGCAGUGGGGAAUUUUGGACAAUGGGGGCAACCCUGAUCCAGCCAUGCCGCGUGCGGGAAGAAGGCCUUCGGGUUGUAAACCGCUUUUGUUCGGGAAGAAAUCCUCUGGGCUAAUACCCCGGGGGGAUGACGGUACCGGAAGAAUAAGCACCGGCUAACUACGUG